Chelonia mydas (Green sea turtle) is the source of this 1257-nucleotide long non-coding RNA. RefSeq lists it as uncharacterized. NCBI's taxonomy places the organism in Eukaryota, Metazoa, Chordata, Testudines, Cheloniidae. The transcript is spliced from 3 exons. The record is from RefSeq and is a predicted model, not a curated record.
UUAGUUCCUGGGUGUCUCUCUGCAUUCUCCAGGCUUCUUCUUUGAUCUUAGUCAUAAGCAGGACCCGCCCCCACCGCGAGGCCGUGCGUGCCUGUAGAUCUUGUUCUCUCUUGGCGACUUCGUGGUCUCGAUUAGCUGGACGCGCCGUGUGCAGAGAGACUCCCGUUGUAAGACGCGCAAUACACGACGAUCAGUUGGGGCAAGAGAAGCGUCUCCUACCCCGCCUGCCUGCCCGGAACCUGUGUAUCACCUGGUGACCUGGCCUAACGUACACACCUUAGAACGUAUAGAUACAUAACUCCUUAAAUAUCGUCCGUACAUACGUCACGGGCUGGGUAGGACGAUGUCAGCAGAGACCUCACAUGCCCCCCCUUUGGUGCGCUAUUAUGCAGACCUCAGACCUAGUGGUCCCUGUAAACCCCUCUGCCCCCCUUGGGCCCUUUGCCAAUGGCCAUCAGGAGGUCCCUGGGCCGCAAAGGGAUUCAUAGAUUCUAAAGACACAAGGGGCCACUCAGAUAAUUUCAUCGGCUUUCCUGUCGAAAGCCGGCCACAGGACUGCCCUGCGUUAAUUCCUGGUGGUGCUAGAGGGGGGAAAAAAGAAACAUCCCAUCUGGGUUUAAAAAUUGUCCGGGACGGAGAAUCCACCAUGACUCUGGGUGAGUUGUUCCAAAGGUUGGCUGCCUUCGCUGUUAAAAAUGCACACCUUAUCGCCCACCUGGAUGUGCCCGGCUUCCGUGUCCAACCACUGGGUCCUGUUAGACCUCCCUGCGCUGGACUGAGGUGCCCCUUUUCAACGUGUUCCCAGGCAGGUGUUCUAACCCUCCGAUCAUUCUCGUGACUCUUCUCCGACCCCUCUCCAAUUUACCAACAUCCUCCUUGAAUUGUGGGCUCCAGAACUGGACGCAAGAUUCCAGCAGCGGUCGCACCAGGGCCAACUACAGAGGGGAAAUAAACUCUUUGCUCCUGCUUGAGAUUCCCCUGUUGAUGCAUCCCAGGGUCACACUAGCCCUUUUGGCCACAGCGUCAUGCUGGGAACUUGUGUUUUGUAUCCAACACAACUCCCAGGUCUUUCUCAGAGUCACAGCUUCCCAGGAUGGAGUUCCCCAUCAUGUCAUUGUUAAAAAUAUCCAGUAGUGAAGGGCCAAGAACUCAUCCCUGCGGGACCCCACUAGAAACGGACCCACUUGAUGACUAUUCCCUAUUUACAGUUACCUUUUGAGACCUGUCACUUAGCCAGCGAUAAUCCAUAUAAUGUGG